This 255-nucleotide ribosomal RNA is filed under the name uncultured bacterium. Its description in RNAcentral is "partial 16S ribosomal RNA". It matches the Rfam family "Bacterial small subunit ribosomal RNA", at positions 524 to 776 of the family's 1533-position model. The record is from RNAcentral.
UACGGAGGGGGCAAGCGUUGUUCGGAAUUACUGGGCGUAAAGGGCGCGCAGGCGGCUGCUCAAGUCAGGCGUGAAAGGCCUGGGCUCAACCCGGGAAUUGCGCUUGAGACUGGGCUGGCUUGAGUGCGGGAGAGGAUGGUGGAAUUCCCAGUGUAGAGGUGAAAUUCGUAGAUAUCGGGAAGAACACCCGUGGCGAAGGCGGCUCUCUGGAACGCAACUGACGCUGAGACGCGAAAAGCGUGGGGAGCAAACAGG